This 65-nucleotide transfer RNA is filed under the name Medon apicalis. RNAcentral describes it as "tRNA-Tyr". The record is from RNAcentral. Lineage: Eukaryota; Metazoa; Arthropoda; Insecta; Coleoptera; Staphylinidae.
GGUAAAAUGGCUGAUAAUAGGCGAUAAAUUGUAAAUUUAUUUAUGAAUGUAUUAUUCUUUUACCA